This is a non-coding RNA of Misgurnus anguillicaudatus (oriental weatherfish), 1113 nucleotides long. NCBI's taxonomy places the organism in Eukaryota, Metazoa, Chordata, Actinopteri, Cypriniformes, Cobitidae. The record is from RefSeq and is a predicted model, not a curated record.
AUUGGUGACGUAGAUAAGACCAACAUUAUCAUAGUUCAGCCCUCUCUGCUUGGCUUGGGUACGCCCUCAAAGACGGGGGUGGAGAGCGCUGAGUCAGAAGAGAGCUAAAAUGGCGGAGGUUGGGAGUCCCUGCUUUGACCCUGUUUGCAAACUCUUGUUUCAUUGUUUAAGCGAUUAAAUCUCUCGAGUAGACGCUGUCUCUUUAAAUGCAAGGGCAAAAUAGCACUUUAUGGACUAACACAGAGGACAUCAUGUUUAAUACGGUUCCGGAAAAAUCCAGUCAGAAGUUGUUCACGGAGUUUUCACAAUAACUGCUUCUCAUGAACCAAAGCUGCGCGACGUCUCCUCCUGAAAGUUGGAUUACCGUGCACUUCUGGAUCACAGGCUAUUCGCAGCUGGACACAUCCUUCUACACUGUAUGCAAACAUGCAACAUCAUUACACACAGUACAAGGCAUAUGAGGAGCAAAGGAACCCAGGCAGUAGCAUCGUUUCACAAUGUUUCAAUCACCAUCAUCAGUGGAUGCCUUUGCCGUCCGUAGCCUGAGAUUUCAGAUUUGCAGCAAAAAAUGUGACUUUCCCAUUUAUUGGAAUGCUGUGCAGGUUGUACCUUGCAGCCAUCCAUUACAAUGUCACCAAGCCAUAACAAAAGCAGGAGAGGGAAAGUACAAGGCUAUGUUCCCAAAACACACAAGUGACAUACUUUAUGUGGAUGAUGUGAUCAGGCUUGUGUUUGAUGAGGUAUUUGAAGAUAAGCUGAAGGAAACCCCGAUUCCAAUGGACCUGGCAUCACAGUUUGAGAGACCUUCAAACGAGGACGUGAUUGCAUGCCAUCUUCAGUGCAGGGGUCGUCGGAAGCCACCAUUCCGAUCAGGAAGCUCCAAGCAUAUCUGGAGAACAACACACGACAGGAUGAUAACCCUAAAGUGUCGUCUUAGAUAGCACCAGCUGACAAAGCUUUGAUAUGCCAUUUAUCUGAAUAGAUAGCUGUAAGAAGUGAAUUGAACAAUUUUUUGAAAGAAGAGCACUAUAUGGUUACUAAAGUAUGUUUAUUUGUAUAUUGUUUAACAGUUAAAUAUAUAUUUGUAAUAAAUAAACUUUUGACUGACUACUA